CCGGCUUGCGGCCCAUUCCCCUCUCCUGCUCUCAAUCUGUCUUUGCACUGAACGCCAAGUUCUACAUGUUGUAUUUUCCCACCUGCUUUCCCCUCUAAAAUGUCAAUUUCAUAAAGUUACCACUGCAACACCCUCAUCAGACUCUCGGAGCUCCUGAGGGAAGCGCCCCAUCAGAGGGAGAGACAGAGGAGGAGGAGGAGGAGGAGGAAGAGGGGCCCCCUCUGGCGCAUUCUGAAGUGGCCUGAGCAAGCCCCAGGAUUCUGACAUCAACUGCUCUGUCGGGCCCCGGGGGGCUGGUGCCUUGUUCCCAGAGCUCCUUAGUCUGUGAGAUGCCUGAUUAGAAUAUUGGCCCAAUAUUCGUGGAUCCCGUGUUCUCUCCCCUUCCCACCCCUCCCCCAACUGCAUAAACAUCAUUAUUCCAUUGUUUUCCGCUGUUUGUAAAGUUUCUGGGGGAAAAGAGUAAGGCCAGCAUGCCUUUCGUUUUCUCUUUUGCGGAUGCCUUAGUUUUUGUAUUGGAGUGAGACUAGUCAUAACAUUUCCAGAAACAGAA
Molecule: non-coding RNA, 550 nt
Organism: Vicugna pacos (alpaca)
Lineage: Eukaryota; Metazoa; Chordata; Mammalia; Artiodactyla; Camelidae
Source: RefSeq, a predicted model, not a curated record